UCCUUCCACAAAGCUUCUCUCCUGUCGGGCCCCGGUCAGGGGCCACCAUUAGGUCACGUUUGCAGCUUCUGCAGCCUUUACCAAGCACCACACUCCCCCCACCUUGCCCCCUUUGCACCAUCUACUAGAGUUCAUGCUGUGUACCAACCAUCGCUCAAGCAACAUAGCAAAAGUAGGUCCAGGUCCAGAACCAGUGGGCCUCUCCCUCUCCUUCCAACAUAGCAAAAGUAGGAAUUCGGCGCGUCUGUCCACCGGCCUUUCGAGUGAGAUGGCUCCUGACACGCAGACAAAAAGCCGGGGUGUGAAUAUAGAGAUCUGAUCCGUGAGGGCAGCUGGACGUAACUUCAGAGGAUGUGGGUAACGACAGGCAGCAGCUGGACAGCAUGGAGGAAAUCUCAGUGUCUGCCUCUGAGACUGGCAUCUGAUGUGAAGAGGAGCCGGCCUGGUUCUGUGUCUUCUUAACAAUAACAGGCUAUUAACUGGACCUGCUGCUGCUACCAUAUCCUCACUUCACAAUCAAGAUGACUCUGGGAGCCAAGGUGCCACUUCCUCCAGUCAAGUGAAUUGCUCUUUUAAAUUAUGUUUUGUUGCGCUUUUGCCAGAGGGAAAAUUCUUGUGAGCAAAGUGCAGGCUGCAAAAGCCCUGGCAAAAGUUUGAGUCGAACUCAAACAAUCUUCACCGCAUGUCAUUCGGUUAGAUUGAGGCUACCGAAAGUGGAUUUCCAAGAAAGCGUGAAAAAGGAGAUAAUAUUCACACAGCAUGGAAAAACCUUCGUUUUGAUGGAGCUUCCAUAUUUUUAUUGAUCCCUCUCCGUCAGAGCCUGGGAGGUCAGAGGUCAGCCCUGACUAAUGGAAUCUGUAGCCUGUAGUGACUGCAGCAAGGACCUGCUGACCUGCCCAUUGUCCUGUCAGCCACGGCUUCAUUAGCCUGACAGGUUGAGGUGAGUUCGAUCAGGGCUUCCUCAUCACUUAAACGGCUCUCUGAGGAAUGCUACAUCCUUGCUAAUGCACAGCCUGAAGGGGCCCUUAAAAGCCAAAGCUCCUGAACUCAAAGGAGGGAAAAACUUGUGCCUGAUGUGGAAGGAAUUUGCAUUAAAACAUGUGUUGGGACACAGUUGACUAACGUUCAGUUUGUAUUUGACAAAAGAAAAAGAAAGAAGACCAUUUAUUCUCAGCUAGAAGACUAAACAAAAAGAAAGCUUAACGUG
Long non-coding RNA from Gambusia affinis (western mosquitofish), 1207 nucleotides. RefSeq lists it as uncharacterized. The transcript has 6 exons. NCBI's taxonomy places the organism in Eukaryota, Metazoa, Chordata, Actinopteri, Cyprinodontiformes, Poeciliidae. The record is from RefSeq and is a predicted model, not a curated record.